CUCCUACUCCCUCCGUUCGGAAAUACUUGUCAUUGAAAUGGAUGUAUCUAGAUGCAUUUUAGUUCUGAAUACAUCCAUUUCCAGCCAUUUUGAUGACAAGUAUUUCCGGACGGAGGGAGUACUUU
This is a non-coding RNA of Triticum aestivum (bread wheat), 125 nucleotides long. The record is from Rfam. NCBI's taxonomy places the organism in Eukaryota, Viridiplantae, Streptophyta, Magnoliopsida, Poales, Poaceae.